This 225-nucleotide long non-coding RNA is filed under the name Homo sapiens (human). Its description in RNAcentral is "HSALNT0276948". The record is from RNAcentral. Lineage: Eukaryota; Metazoa; Chordata; Mammalia; Primates; Hominidae.
UUUCCUCUUGUUGCCCAGGCUGGAGUGCAAUGGCGCAAUCUCCGCUCACUGCAACCUCCGCCUCCCGGGUUCAAGCAAUUCUCCUGCUUCAGCCUCCUGAGUAGCUGGUAUUACAAGCAUAGGCCACCAUGCCCGGCUAAUUUUUUUGUAUUUUUAGUAGAGACGGGGUUUCUCCAUGUUGGUCAGGCUGGUCUUGAACUCCCAACCUCAGGUGAUCCGCCCGCC